AACGAACGCUGGCGGCAUGCCUAACACAUGCAAGUCGAACGAGACCUCCGGGUCUAGUGGCGCACGGGUGCGUAACGCGUGGGAACCUGCCCUUAGGUUCGGAAUAACUCCUCGAAAGGGGUGCUAAUACCGGAUAAUGUCUUCGGACCAAAGAUUUAUCGCCUUUGGAUGGGCCCGCGUUGGAUUAGCUAGUUGGUAGGGUAAAAGCCUACCAAGGCGACGAUCCAUAGCUGGUCUGAGAGGAUGAUCAGCCACACUGGGACUGAGACACGGCCCAGACUCCUACGGGAGGGAGCAGUGGGGAAUAUUGGACAAUGGGCGAAAGCCUGAUCCAGCAAUGCCGCGUGAGUGAUGAAGGCCUUAGGGUUGUACAGCUCUUUUACACGGGAUGAUAAUGACGGUACCGGGAGAAUAAGCACCGGCUAACUCCGUG
Molecule: ribosomal RNA, 433 nt
Filed under: uncultured bacterium
Lineage: Bacteria
Description: partial 16S ribosomal RNA
Rfam family: Bacterial small subunit ribosomal RNA
Source: RNAcentral